RNAcentral lists this ribosomal RNA (459 nucleotides) under uncultured bacterium. RNAcentral's name for it is "partial 16S ribosomal RNA". It matches the Rfam family "Bacterial small subunit ribosomal RNA", at positions 339 to 795 of the family's 1533-position model. The record is from RNAcentral.
CCACGGGUGGCUGCAGUGAGGAAUAUUGGUCAAUGGGCGCGAGCCUGAACCAGCCAAGUAGCGUGAAGGAUGACUGCCCUACGGGUUGUAAACUUCUUUUAUAAAGGAAUAAAGUGAGGCAAGUGUGCCUGUUUGUAUGUACUUUAUGAAUAAGGAUAGGCUAACUCCGUGCAAGCAGCCGCGGUAAUACGGAGGAUCCGAGCGUUAUCCGGAUGUCUUGGGUUUAAAGGGAGCGUAGAUGGGUUGUUAAGUCAGUUGUGACAGUUUGAGGCUCAAACGUAAAAUUGCAAUUGAGACUGGCAGCCUGGAGUACAGUUGAGGUAGGCGGAAUUCGUGGUGUAGCGGUGAAAUGCUUAGAUAUCACGAAGAACUCCGAUUGCGAAGGCAGCCUACUAAACUGCCACUGACAUUGAUGCUCGAAAGUGUGGGUAUCAAACAGGAUUAGAUACCCUUGUAGUC